Pogoniulus pusillus (Red-fronted tinkerbird) is the source of this 599-nucleotide long non-coding RNA. RefSeq lists it as uncharacterized. NCBI's taxonomy places the organism in Eukaryota, Metazoa, Chordata, Aves, Piciformes, Lybiidae. The transcript is spliced from 4 exons. The record is from RefSeq and is a predicted model, not a curated record.
UGGUUUGCUGACAUCAGUGAAAUCUGCUGGGAAGGCUCUAGCUGCUAGAACCGCUGCAGAUGUACUCCCUUUUGUCCCGAAGCCAAAUUUUCUGAACCACACAAAUGGAGGAGGAGAGUCAACUGAGGCACACUGGCUUCAUUGAGUGCUAUUUCUGUGGCACUCUGCCCCUCUCAGCGCAGUCAGGUCCUUGACAAAGCAAAUCUCUUCAAAGUGCUGCUGAAAAUUUGAAAAUGGUUCCAAGGAGAGACAGAAGGAGGAUUCUUAGACUCUGAAAAGCAUGGCUAAUAGUAAAUCUCUAACAGUGCCAUCUCAUCACAAAACCACUUUGCAUUGUCUUGAAGACUGACUGUUUUCUGGCACUCCUUUGCAGUGACACCCAUCCUGUGAGAAUAUAGCAGCAGUCUCAAACAUCAAAGCUUCAGACUCAGCGCAGUGUCAAAAAACCAUGAAGCUUUAAGACUCAACCAAGCAUCAACCCCAAGCUGAGGCAGAAGCUUUUACUCAUGAGACCGCUGACUGAACGGAUUAGAGGCAACAAAGAAAAAACCCUCCACAAGUCUAAAAUUGCUGGUAGAAAAAUAAAUGACUAAACACAA